Molecule: ribosomal RNA, 430 nt
Filed under: Vibrio parahaemolyticus
Lineage: Bacteria; Pseudomonadati; Pseudomonadota; Gammaproteobacteria; Vibrionales; Vibrionaceae
Description: partial 23S ribosomal RNA
Rfam family: Bacterial large subunit ribosomal RNA
Source: RNAcentral
GUUGUAUGGUUAAGUGACUAAGCGUACACGGUGGAUGCCUUGGCAGUCAGAGGCGAUGAAGGACGUAGUAACUUGCGAUAAGCCCAGAUUAGGUAGUAACAACCAUUUGAGUCUGGGAUUUCCGAAUGGGGAAACCCACUUACAUAAGUAAGUAUCCUUACCUGAAUACAUAGGGUAAGGAGGCGAACCGGGGGAACUGAAACAUCUAAGUACCCCGAGGAAAAGAAAUCAACCGAGAUUCCGAAAGUAGCGGCGAGCGAAAUUGGACUAGCCCUUAAGCUUUACACGCGUUAGACGAACGGUCUGGAAAGUCCGACGAUACAGGGUGAUAGUCCCGUAGUUGACGACGUGUGUUCAGUGAAAUCGAGUAGGGCGGGACACGUGAUAUCCUGUCUGAAUAUGGGGGGACCAUCCUCCAAGGCUAAAUACU